This 215-nucleotide unclassified non-coding RNA is filed under the name uncultured Actinomycetes bacterium. RNAcentral describes it as "uncultured actinobacterium contains 16S-23S intergenic spacer region". It matches the Rfam family "Bacterial small subunit ribosomal RNA", at positions 976 to 1194 of the family's 1533-position model. Lineage: Bacteria; Bacillati; Actinomycetota; Actinomycetes. The record is from RNAcentral.
UGGGCUUGACAUGCGGGGUAAAGCCGGUGAAAGCCGGCGCUCUACGGAGCCCGCACAGGCGGUGCAUGGCUGUCGUCAGCUCGUGCCGUGAGGUGUUGCCUUAAGUGGCGCAACGAGCGCAACCCCUGUCCUCAGUUGCCAGCGGGUAAAGCCGGGAACUCUGGGGAGACUGCCGGUGCCAAACCGGAGGAAGGUGGGGAUGACGUUCGUCUGAC